Molecule: long non-coding RNA, 1345 nt
Filed under: Homo sapiens (human)
Lineage: Eukaryota; Metazoa; Chordata; Mammalia; Primates; Hominidae
Description: HSALNT0265614
Source: RNAcentral
CAGAUGAUGGUCAGGCAGUUGUUAACUGUCUUUCUAAAAUAAUUUGUUGCAGCCAGUGCCAGGGAAAGCAGUCUCCCUAUCAAUAGAAGAAACCUCAAACUGGGGAUCAGCAGCUUCCAGAUAAGAUCUCAGGAGCUGGGCCUGGCAGUGACUGAGGCUCCAUCUAGCUCUGGGAGAAGAGGAAGGGAGUGGCUUCCCACUGGGGGUGCCUCAGACCUCGCUUACCUCCACCCAUAGCUGGUCCACCCACCAUGGGUGCUCAAAAGUAGAAGGAAGGAUGGGGAAACAUUCAGUCCACGUCCAAAUCAUCGAGAAGACUUUUCAGAUUGGGAAUAAUUCCGAAGCCAGAUCCCAGCAAGGCACUGCCAAAAAAUGGCUCUCUGGGGUUUAUUUUCCUUUGGAAAGGACUUUUGGGACAUACGGCAAGAGGGAGCUUUCUGGGUCCCUUAAAGGGCCCUGCAGGAAAGAAGGGCAGUGGGACGCAUUGUCUGUUCUCCAUAGACAAUAGGGCAGACUGCUUCCUCCUUGGGACUGGUAGUUACGUUUAUGUUUCUGACAACCAGCUGGCCACUGAAGAAGCGUGGAGCCAACAGCUGCAAGGGAUAAUUUUGGCAGCAUCACCCACGGUGCAAAUUUAAAACUCCAGCUGGUUCUACUGCAAGCAGAAUAAACACAAACAGCUGAUAAUAAGUAAAUUCAGAACUUGAAAUAUGCCAGAGACACUUUAUAGCCCUCUGUUUUCUCCUAGUGUGCACUCUUUGUGCUCUCAUCCUGUGGUCUUGAGCGUGAACAUCAUUUUCAUAUUUUAUCUUGCUAUCUAAAAGUUUUAUUUAUUUGGGAAAUAAGUAGGCUCUGAAUCUGGGGGGAAAAUAGUUGUCAAGAACCAAAUAUUUGGCUUCCUGUUUCCCAGAAAGUGUUUGCUGCUGUUUCCAUUUCUGGCCCAACAUUUUUCCAGAGUUGAAAAUGUCAUUUAAAUGAGUCAGUCCCCGGGGCUCAGAAGCAAUGAUAAAGAUGUGGACAUGGCCCCAGAACGUUGGAGCACUGCUGCCUCUGGUGGACUGAAGGGCAGCUGGCAUUAAAAACAGGAUGUUCCUGCUGUGAUACAGGCAGAGGAAGAAGAAGGGUAUGCAAACCAAGGCAGUCCCCUGCAGCCUUGCCCCUCAGUGUGUGGUCCCAGACCAGCAGCAUCACUGCACCUGGUAGCUUGUUAGAAAUGCACAACCUCUGACCCCACCCCGACCUCCUGCAUCAGAAUCUGCCUGUUGACAAGGUCUUGGGGAAAAGGGUAUUGGGGAAUUUGCUGCACACACACUCCGCUGGGCAACCCAACGGCCUCAAUGAGACC